Molecule: ribosomal RNA, 404 nt
Filed under: uncultured bacterium
Lineage: Bacteria
Description: bacterial SSU rRNA
Rfam family: Bacterial small subunit ribosomal RNA
Source: RNAcentral
GGGGGAUAUUGCACAAUGGAGGAAACUCUGAUGCAGCGACGCCGCGUGAGGGAAGAAGGUCUUCGGAUUGUAAACCUCUGUCUUUGGGGACGAAGAAAGUGAAGGUACCCAAAGAGGAAGCCACGGCUAACUACGUGCCAGCAGCCGCGGUAAUACGUAGGUGGCGAGCGUUGUCCGGAAUUACUGGGCGUAAAGCGUGCGUAGGCGGUUCGUUAAGUCCGAUGUGAAAGCCCUGGGCUCAACCUGGGAACUGCAUUGGAUACUGGCGAGCUAGAGUGCGGUAGAGGAUGGUGGAAUUCCCGGUGUAGCGGUGAAAUGCGUAGAGAUCGGGAGGAACACCAGUGGCGAAGGCGGCCAUCUGGACCAGCACUGACGCUGAGGCACGAAAGCGUGGGGAGCAAACA